This 817-nucleotide ribosomal RNA is filed under the name uncultured bacterium. RNAcentral describes it as "bacterial SSU rRNA". It matches the Rfam family "Bacterial small subunit ribosomal RNA", at positions 8 to 872 of the family's 1533-position model. The record is from RNAcentral.
GAUUGUUUGAUCCUGGCUCAGAGCGAACGCUGGCGGCAGGCCUAACACAUGCAAGUCGAACGGAUCCUUCGGGAUUAGUGGCGGACGGGUGAGUAACACGUGGGAACGUGCCCUUUGGUUCGGAACAACUCAGGGAAACUUGAGCUAAUACCGGAUGUGCCCUUCGGGGGAAAGAUUUAUCGCCAUUGGAGCGGCCCGCGUCUGAUUAGCUAGUUGGUGAGGUAAAGGCUCACCAAGGCGACGAUCAGUAGCUGGUCUGAGAGGAUGAUCAGCCACAUUGGGACUGAGACACGGCCCAAACUCCUACGGGAGGCAACAGUGGGGAAUCUUGCGCAAUGGGCGAAAGCCUGACGCAGCCAUGCCGCGUGAAUGAUGAAGGUCUUAGGAUUGUAAAAUUCUUUCACCGGGGACGAUAAUGACGGUACCCGGAGAAGAAGCCCCGGCUAACUUCGUGCCAGCAGCCGCGGUAAUACGAAGGGGGCUAGCGUUGCUCGGAAUUACUGGGCGUAAAGGGAGCGUAGGCGGACUGUUAAGUUAGAGGUGAAAGCCCAGGGCUCAACCUUGGAAUUGCCUUUGAUACUGGCAGUCUUGAGUACGGAAGAGGUAUGUGGAACUCCGAGUGUAGAGGUGAAAUUCGUAGAUAUUCGGAAGAACACCAGUGGCGAAGGCGACAUACUGGUCCGUUACUGACGCUGAGGCUCGAAAGCGUGGGGAGCAAACAGGAUUAGAUACCCUGGUAGUCCACGCCGUAAACGAUGAGUGCUAGUUGUCGGCAUGCAUGCAUGUCGGUGACGCAGCUAACGCAUAAGCACUCCGC